This 460-nucleotide ribosomal RNA is filed under the name uncultured bacterium. RNAcentral describes it as "partial 16S ribosomal RNA". It matches the Rfam family "Bacterial small subunit ribosomal RNA", at positions 338 to 795 of the family's 1533-position model. The record is from RNAcentral.
CCUACGGGAGGCAGCAGUGAGGAAUAUUGGUCAAUGGCCGGAAGGCUGAACCAGCCAUGCCGCGUGAAGGUCAGUGCCCUAUGGGCGUUAAACUUCUUUUGUGCGGGAGCAAUAAUGGUCACUUGUGGCCAGACGAGAGUACCGUACGAAUAAGCAUCGGCUAACUCCGUGCCAGCAGCCGCGGUAAUACGGGGGAUGCAAGCGUUAUCCGGAUUUAUUGGGUUUAAAGGGUGCGUAGGCUGUGAGGUAAGUCAGCGGUGAAAUGCCCCCGCUCAACGGGGUGAAGUGCCAUUGAUACUGCCUGGCUGGAAUGCGGAUGCCGUGGGAGGAAUGUGUGGUGUAGCGGUGAAAUGCAUAGAUAUCACACAGAACACCGAUUGCGAAGGCAUCUCACGAAUCCGCGAUUGACGCUGAUGCACGAAAGCGUGGGUAUCAAACAGGAUUAGAUACCCGAGUAGUC